This 794-nucleotide ribosomal RNA is filed under the name Vibrio parahaemolyticus. Its description in RNAcentral is "partial 23S ribosomal RNA". It matches the Rfam family "Bacterial large subunit ribosomal RNA", at positions 398 to 1196 of the family's 2925-position model. Lineage: Bacteria; Pseudomonadati; Pseudomonadota; Gammaproteobacteria; Vibrionales; Vibrionaceae. The record is from RNAcentral.
UUCAGUGAAAUCGAGUAGGGCGGGACACGUGAUAUCCUGUCUGAAUAUGGGGGGACCAUCCUCCAAGGCUAAAUACUACUGACUGACCGAUAGUGAACCAGUACCGUGAGGGAAAGGCGAAAAGAACCCCUGUGAGGGGAGUGAAAUAGAACCUGAAACCGUGUACGUACAAGCAGUAGGAGCAGGCUUGUCCUGUGACUGCGUACCUUUUGUAUAAUGGGUCAGCGACUUAUAUUCAGUGGCAAGGUUAACCAUCUAGGGGAGCCGUAGGGAAACCGAGUCUUAACUGGGCGUUCAGUCUCUGGAUAUAGACCCGAAACCAGGUGAUCUAGCCAUGGGCAGGUUGAAGGUUGAGUAACAUCAACUGGAGGACCGAACCGACUAAUGUUGAAAAAUUAGCGGAUGACUUGUGGCUAGGGGUGAAAGGCCAAUCAAACCUGGAGAUAGCUGGUUCUCCCCGAAAGCUAUUUAGGUAGCGCCUCGGACGAAUACUACUGGGGGUAGAGCACUGUUAAGGCUAGGGGGUCAUCCCGACUUACCAACCCUUUGCAAACUCCGAAUACCAGUAAGUACUAUCCGGGAGACACACGGCGGGUGCUAACGUCCGUCGUGGAGAGGGAAACAACCCAGACCGCCAGCUAAGGUCCCAAAUUACUACUAAGUGGGAAACGAUGUGGGAAGGCUCAGACAGCCAGGAUGUUGGCUUAGAAGCAGCCAUCAUUUAAAGAAAGCGUAAUAGCUCACUGGUCGAGUCGGCCUGCGCGGAAGAUGUAACGGGGCUAAGUAGUAAACCG